UACUAUCGAUGUUUUUUAAAACAGCGAUGUAUCGAUGCUUUUUUUCGAACAUCGAUGUUAUCACUAAGAGAUACACACGCAAAGCAAGUGUUUGAUACAGGUAAAACAUAUUAGGGCGGUUCCUCUCGGCACAAUGGACAGGUUUCUGCACAUAACAAACCACGUGUCUGCUGCUUCGUCGUCUGCUCCAACGUCUGCUGCUUCGUCGUCUGCUCCAACGUCGAUUUCGAUGUUUUUAGCGAAAUUUCGAGGUUUUAGCAAAAUUUCGAUGUUUUCGCGAAAUUUCGAUGUUUUAGCGAUAUAUCGAUGCUUACAAACAUCGAUGUUGAAAACAUCGAUGUACUCACUAUCGAUGUUUUUGCAUCCCUAAGGGACGGAGACUUAUUAAAGCGUGAAUGGCGGGAAUAUAUCGAUAAGAGCGGGACGAUGAAUUCAGAGUAGCCGGAUCUUUGCAAAGUGUAGACAAUUUAAAACAGAAAUCAACUUAACCAAAAAGUCUGGGUACGCUGUUAAAUUGCUGUUGUUGAAAAUUCAAUAGAUCAUUUCAGCAAUUGAGGAAUCGACCCAAAAUGGAUCCUCUUGGUCUUGCGAACAGCUGUGACCAGUUUUGUGUUAUUUUUUAUUAUAAGUUAAUGCCUUAAAUUAUUAUUAAGGAACAGCGCCGCCACUAGGUGUACAGAGAAGUAAGGCCCGUCAUGUAGAAGACUACCGAGCCCAGUAGCGAAGUACUUCCGCGCGUUCUCGAAGGAGGCGAAGUGAAAAAGCACUAGCUUGCAAACGCUUAAGAGAUACCGCAGCGCACAUACUCUAAGAGGCGGCCAUGACAGCAAUGCAACAUCCUGAUAAUUUGCUCAUUGGGACCACAUUAUAAGGACGAAGGAAUUUCGAUAUUAAUAGAAAGUCGGAAAGACUUGGAGUGUAAACUUGUUGAUCACAACACAUUUGGAAAACAUGUUAAAAGUUUUGAAAAUAUUUUGUAUCAAAUACAUCUGACAUAAUUACUAGAAAUGGAAGUCCAUAAAAAGGCGAAAGUAGACAAAGAGUACUUCAAAUGUUUAAAGAUCAGCGCAUAGAUUAUAAAAAUAAAGUAAGCAAACAAAAUUUUAUAUUUACUAAUUUAUUAACGAAUAUAAAUAAAUAGAAAGACCUUUAAGAGACUCGACUUGUCUCGGACAAUGACGUGCCAGUCUGUGGCCCUAGUCCGCUAUCUAGAGAUGAAAGCCAAUUCGAUUUUGUAAAUCGUCGAUACUUUAAUAUGUUUUAUCAUUAACGAUUAAUGCCAAAACACUGAUUUUAUAGUGCUGUCACAUUAAAAGAAAAAUCGACCUAAUAGUUAAAAUAACAGAAAAAAAACAGAAUGGUCUAUAAGUUUGGUCAAUUUUGCCCAUUAAUUGGAAGAAACAAAUAUAUAUGAUUUGCUUAGAUCAUAUUAAUAACGAUAACUAUCUGAUUUUAAGGUUCUAAGCUAUUAAAACAAAAUUCUAAAUAGGUAUAAAAUUGUUGACAAUUGAUAAAAUCAGACACUUUAAAUACGACCUCAAAACUUUCGCAAAUAUUCAUUAUUUUGUUAUCGGCUUGGGUGAUUUUUUUACUUCGCGUUAUAAGAAAAUUUUGGUUGGUGCAGAAGCAAAGAGCCUCAUAACGGCUCAGAACCCAGCAAUAGAUCUCACCUCAAAAAAAAUUAUAACAUUGUUGUUUUUAAGGGAAAUGACCAACCUCCAGCUUAUGUCCUUCUUGGCAAGAUCUGGCACCUGUUGCACCAAAACGUACAUUAUCGGGGGUGUCACAGAAAUCCCUUCCAAUCAAAUUUCCCCCGAAAAGCAAAUCUCGGUGUCACAGACGUCAUUUUUGACGGUUUCUAAAUCCCCCGUAUUUUGACUGACGUUUUGAUAAAAUAAUCCAACCAAUCCGUCAUCUUCCACUUGCCAACAAAUAUAUUCCAAGGCCGGAUUUAGUUUUAAUGGAAACGCCGAUCUCGGCACCCUUGUGGCCGAAGAAGGUGCCAAGAUCGCAGAAAAGGCUCAGGGGAUAAAGGAUUUAAAUAAGACCUUGAAGGACACCACCGAUGCCAUUGUA
This is a long non-coding RNA of Drosophila subpulchrella, 2076 nucleotides long. RefSeq lists it as uncharacterized. Lineage: Eukaryota; Metazoa; Arthropoda; Insecta; Diptera; Drosophilidae. The record is from RefSeq and is a predicted model, not a curated record. The transcript is spliced from 5 exons.